Molecule: transfer RNA, 75 nt
Filed under: Microbacterium phage Cece
Lineage: Duplodnaviria; Heunggongvirae; Uroviricota; Caudoviricetes
Description: tRNA-Leu
Rfam family: tRNA
About the family: Transfer RNA (tRNA) molecules are approximately 80 nucleotides in length. Their secondary structure includes four short double-helical elements and three loops (D, anti-codon, and T loops).
Source: RNAcentral
GCGCAGGUAGGCAAUGGUAGACCACUAAGUCCGAGAUACUUAGAUGAUUGUGGGUUCGAGUCCCACUCUGCGCAC